UUGCCUUAGUAGCGGCGAGUGAAGCGGCAAAAGCUCAAAUUUGAAAUCUGGCACCUUCGGUGUCCGAGUUGUAAUUUGAAGAUUGUAACCUUGGGGUUGGCUCUUGUCUAUGUUUCUUGGAACAGGACGUCACAGAGGGUGAGAAUCCCGUGCGAUGAGAUGCCCAAUCCUAUGUAAGGUGCUUUCGAAGAGUCGAGUUGUUUGGGAAUGCAGCUCUAAGUGGGUGGUAAAUUCCAUCUAAAGCUAAAUAUUGGCGAGAGACCGAUAGCGAACAAGUACAGUGAUGGAAAGAUGAAAAGAACUUUGAAAAGAGAGUGAAAAAGUACGUGAAAUUGUUGAAAGGGAAGGGUUUGAGAUCAGACUCGAUAUUUUGUGAGCCUUGCCUUCGUGGCGGGGUGACCCGCAGCUUAUCGGGCCAGCAUCGGUUUGGGCGGUAGGAUAAUGGCGUAGGAAUGUGACUUUGCUUCGGUGAAGUGUUAUAGCCUGCGUUGAUGCUGCCUGCCUAGACCGAGGACUGCGAUUUUAUCAAGGAUGCUGGCAUAAUGAUCCC
Molecule: ribosomal RNA, 550 nt
Filed under: Meyerozyma guilliermondii
Lineage: Eukaryota; Fungi; Ascomycota; Pichiomycetes; Serinales; Debaryomycetaceae
Description: partial large subunit ribosomal RNA
Rfam family: Eukaryotic large subunit ribosomal RNA
Source: RNAcentral